Molecule: non-coding RNA, 73 nt
Organism: Ictidomys tridecemlineatus (thirteen-lined ground squirrel)
Lineage: Eukaryota; Metazoa; Chordata; Mammalia; Rodentia; Sciuridae
Source: Rfam
GGGGAUGUGGUUCAGUGGUAGAACACUUAACCUAGUAUAUCUAAGGCCCUGGGUUCAAUCCCUAGCAUCCCCC